UACGUAGGGGGCGAGCGUUGUCCGGAUUCAUUGGGCGUAAAGCGCGCGUAGGCGGCUCCGCAAGUCGGCCGUGAAAUCUCCAGGCUCAACUUGGAGGAGUCGGGCGAGACUGCGGAGCUCGAGGUGGGCAGAGGGCAGUGGAAUUCCGGGUGUAGUGGUGGAAUGCGUAGAGAUCCGGAGGAACACCAGUGGCGAAGGCGGCUGCCUGGGCCUGGCCUGACGCUGAGGCGCGAAAGCGUGGGGAGCGAUCCGG
RNAcentral lists this ribosomal RNA (253 nucleotides) under uncultured bacterium. RNAcentral's name for it is "partial 16S ribosomal RNA". It matches the Rfam family "Bacterial small subunit ribosomal RNA", at positions 524 to 776 of the family's 1533-position model. The record is from RNAcentral.